Molecule: non-coding RNA, 250 nt
Organism: Pelobates cultripes (western spadefoot toad)
Lineage: Eukaryota; Metazoa; Chordata; Amphibia; Anura; Pelobatidae
Source: the annotation of a GenBank genome assembly
AGGGAAGAGGUGACUAGUGACAGAGUGAGGGGAUGACUGGUGACAGAGGGAGGGAGUGACUAGUGACAGAGGGAGGGAGGGGGUGACUGUCACUAGUCACCCCAUCCCUCUCUCUGUCACUAGUCACUCCCUCCCUAACUCUGUCACUGUGUCACCCCCUCCCUCACUCUGUCACUAGUCACCCCCUCACUCACUCUGUCACUAGUCACCCCCUCACUCACUCUGUCACUAAUCACCCCCUCUGUCCCUA